UAGCCUGUUAUAGUGGACAGCUUGCUGC
RNAcentral lists this non-coding RNA (28 nucleotides) under Homo sapiens (human). The record is from RNAcentral. Lineage: Eukaryota; Metazoa; Chordata; Mammalia; Primates; Hominidae.